GCUGCGAUAGCUCAGUUGGUAGAGCAUAAGACUGUGAAUCUCAGGGUUGUGGACAAAGGAUUCCUGCAUUACAGUG
Podarcis lilfordi (Lilford's wall lizard) is the source of this 76-nucleotide non-coding RNA. The record is from the annotation of a GenBank genome assembly. NCBI's taxonomy places the organism in Eukaryota, Metazoa, Chordata, Lepidosauria, Squamata, Lacertidae.